CAAUAGCGUAUAUUUAAGUUGUUGCAGUUAAAAAGCUCGUAGUUGGAUUUCGGUUAAGAGCGACCGGUCCGCCGUUUGGUGUGCACUGGCUGGUUUUAACUUCCUGUAGAGGACGUGCUCUGGGUUUAACGACCUGGACUCGGAGUCUACGUGGUUACUUUGAAAAAAUUAGAGUGUUCAAAGCGGGCUUACGCUUGAAUAUUUCAGCAUGGAAUAACACUAUAGGACUCCUGUCCUAUUUCGUUGGUCUCGGGACGGGAGUAAUGAUUAAGAGGAACAGUUGGGGGCAUUCGUAUUUCAUUGUCAGAGGUGAAAUUCUUGGAUUUAUGAAAGACGAACUUCUGCGAAAGCAUUUGCCAAGGAUGUUUUCAUUAA
RNAcentral lists this ribosomal RNA (375 nucleotides) under uncultured eukaryote. RNAcentral's name for it is "partial 18S ribosomal RNA". It matches the Rfam family "Eukaryotic small subunit ribosomal RNA", at positions 592 to 976 of the family's 1831-position model. The record is from RNAcentral.